UUAUUGAUGAUGACACUUUUGCUUCCACUUUAGGAAAAUUUUGAACUAAUUAGUGAUCACUGUAAUGUCAUCCUCAUCCUCUACUAUUGAAUUAU
Small nucleolar RNA from Dendrobium catenatum, 95 nucleotides. RefSeq annotates it as small nucleolar RNA SNORD116. The record is from RefSeq and is a predicted model, not a curated record. NCBI's taxonomy places the organism in Eukaryota, Viridiplantae, Streptophyta, Magnoliopsida, Asparagales, Orchidaceae. The transcript has a single exon.